This 460-nucleotide ribosomal RNA is filed under the name uncultured bacterium. RNAcentral describes it as "partial 16S ribosomal RNA". It matches the Rfam family "Bacterial small subunit ribosomal RNA", at positions 338 to 795 of the family's 1533-position model. The record is from RNAcentral.
CCUACGGGAGGCAGCAGUGAGCAAUAUUGGUCAAUGGACGAGAGUCUGAACCAGCCAAGUAGCGUGAAGGAUGACUGCCCUAUGGGUUGUAAACUUCUUUUAUAUGGGAAUAAAACGUUCCACGUGUGGGAUUUUGUAUGUACCAUAUGAAUAAGGAUCGGCUAACUCCGUGCCAGCAGCCGCGGUAAUACGGAGGAUCCGAGCGUUAUCCGGAUUUAUUGGGUUUAAAGGGAGCGUAGGUGGAUUGUUAAGUCAGUUGUGAAAGUUUGCGGCUCAACCGUAAAAUUGCAGUUGAAACUGGCAGUCUUGAGUACAGUAGAGGUGGGCGGAAUGCGUGGUGUAGCGGUGAAAUGCUUAGAUAUCACGAAGAACUCCGAUUGCGAAGGCAGUUCACUGGACUGCAACUGACACUGAGGCUCGAAAGUGUGGGUAUCAAACAGGAUUAGAUACCCCAGUAGUC